AUUGAACGCUGGCGGCAGGCUUAACACAUGCAAGUCGAACGGUAGCAGGAGAAAGCUUGCUUUCUUGCUGACGAGUGGCGGACGGGUGAGUAAUGCUUGGGAAUCUGGCUUAUGGAGGGGGAUAACUACGGGAAACUGUAGCUAAUACCGCGUAGAAUCGGAAGAUGAAAGUGCGGGACCGCAAGGCCGCAUGCCAUGAGAUGAGCCCAAGUGGGAUUAGGUAGUUGGUGGGGUAAGGGCCUACCAAGCCUGCGAUCUCUAGCUGGUCUGAGAGGAUGGCCAGCCACACUGGAACUGAGACACGGUCCAGACUCCUACGGGAGGCAGCAGUGGGGAAUAUUGCGCAGUGGGGGGAACCCUGACGCAGCCAUGCCGCGUGAAUGAAGAAGGCCUUCGGGUUGUAAAGUUCUUUCGGUAUUGAGGAAGGUUGAUGUGUUAAUAGUACAUCAAAUUGACGUUAAAUACAGAAGAAGCACCGGCUAACUCCGU
This 489-nucleotide ribosomal RNA is filed under the name uncultured bacterium. Its description in RNAcentral is "partial 16S ribosomal RNA". It matches the Rfam family "Bacterial small subunit ribosomal RNA", at positions 30 to 506 of the family's 1533-position model. The record is from RNAcentral.